This 376-nucleotide ribosomal RNA is filed under the name uncultured microorganism. RNAcentral's name for it is "bacterial SSU rRNA". It matches the Rfam family "Archaeal small subunit ribosomal RNA", at positions 330 to 708 of the family's 1478-position model. The record is from RNAcentral.
GUGCAGCAGUCGCGAAACCUCCGCAAUGCGGGAAACCGCGACGGGGGACCCCGAGUGCCGUGGCAACGCCACGGCUUUUCCGGAGUGUAAAAAGCUCCGGGAAUAAGGGCUGGGCAAGGCCGGUGGCAGCCGCCGCGGUAAUACCGGCGGCCCGAGUGGUGGCCGCUAUUAUUGGGCCUAAAGCGUCCGUAGCCGGGCCCGUAAGUCCCUGGCGAAAUCCCACGGCUCAACCGUGGGGCUUGCUGGGGAUACUGCGGGUCUUGGGACCGGGAGAGGCGGGGGGUACCCCUGGGGUAGGGGUGAAAUCCUAUAAUCCCAGGGGGACCGCCAGUGGCGAAGGCGCCCCGCUGGAACGGGUCCGACGGUGAGGGACGAA